Molecule: long non-coding RNA, 1169 nt
Organism: Thalassophryne amazonica
Lineage: Eukaryota; Metazoa; Chordata; Actinopteri; Batrachoidiformes; Batrachoididae
Exons: 2
Source: RefSeq, a predicted model, not a curated record
UGAUGGUUCAGAUGAACAGGAGACCUCUGCCCGUCGCGUUUCACUCGGCACCCUCUGAUGCUUCCUCUGCAGUAACGGAGUACUGUGACCAUUUUUCAUGACUUGAACGUGUAGUAGACAUCUUGAUGCUUGAAAUGUUUUUUGUUAUUGUUUUGGUGAUUUAUUUAAUGACUGUUUUAAGACUCUGAUAACAGAUUUUACCACAUGCACAUGUACUAUGUAUUUUUCCUCUCAGAAGUACACUCCAGACAAGAACAUGGUAAACAGCAAAGUUGGUGUGGGGAGUUAAUUGAGUGACUUGGUGGCCACUUUUCCACGACAUGGCCACCUGGUGGUGGAGCAAGGGGGAAAAAAAUCACUUGGUAGUACUGUGGAUUUAGAGAAAUCAUUUGGACACUUUUUGAGGUCAUCAUUUUCCACUCCAAACUUGGUUAAACAGUGUAAGGUUAUUAUAAUUUGGUACUGAUGAGGUUUCUCUGUUGGAUCAGUGGGUGAUGGUUGUGGGUCUGACUCAUCAUUGCACAGUCAUGUUCUUAAGUAGCUGGACAGUGACACAGAUGUUUGUUUUUUCCCCCCAGUUUGCCUGUGUGCAUCACCACAAUGGAGUAGAAAUUAAACAUGUGCUUGUAGUGUCAUUGUUCAGCGUUAUUCAGUGAGGUUCAAGAAAAGUAAUGCAUUCCCCAUUUAGUAUUUUACAGCCAUUUAUAUACAUAAUCCCUCUAUUUUCAGAGGCCAUACAUAAUUGGACUAACAAGUUUGAUCCUAAAUACAAGGAUUAAAUCAUCACUUUUACAGCCAGUUUCUUUAAGACGGGUCAGGGGAUGGAUACAUCAACAUUUCCAAGUCACUGAAAAUGUCUUUUAUCGGUCAUUUAAAAAAAUACAAGUAGUGUUGUAAAUCUGUCUAUAGUAGGCCAUCUCAAAAAGUGAGUGACCAUGCAAGAAGAGGAUGAGAAGGAAGCUAACGAGAUACCCAUGACAUCUCUGAUGGUGCUGUGGGGUUUUUAUUGCUUAGGGUUGGGAAUUGAGAUUUUAUCAAUCAAUGCCAUUAUCGAUUCUGAUUAUUACUCUGAAUUCAUUAUCAAUUUUUGUUCUGUUGUGAUCAAUGUAAGGGGACAAAAAUGUAGACCUACACAGGUCAGUGCAGCUCUUUUCUUGUUUUGCUAGGUA